AAGGAAUAGAUACCCUACAUUUCUCACUUGGCAGCCACCUCUUCUCCUGAUCUCAUCUCACAACUCGUCUCCUCCCGAAGUCACCACCUCAACUCUUCUUCCUUUCUAUUGCCCACCACCAAGGCCUGUGGCAUCACCCCCUCUCCUCACCGCCACUGACCAGCCAUCUCUCUCCCCCUCAUCUCCAUCUUCUUUAACCACACAAGAAGGCUGACCCACCUCCUCUCUUCGUGAGGCAAGUGGCAGAGCUCGGCUCAGCUGAAUCCGUCGCCAAUCUUGUCCUUGAGGCUACCUCCCAUCCCUCUCUUUUCGCCUUCGCCAAGAUCCUCACCAUCCCCAACCUCUCGAAGAUACCCUUGUUGGCCACUGCCUUCUUUGUUCCUUUCAUGUUUGCUAAUCUUAACCUUCAUACUGUUUCUAUUCCCUGCUUCAGCUUCUGGCAUCGCAGUAUUCGUGGUAUCUGGAUGUGCCUCUCUUGUUUCCUCGUGGCACAUGGAAAAAUUACCAAAGUAAUGCUCAUAGCCUUCCAGUUAUGUUGCCUGAUCGAGUUCGUAAGCUAAAGCAGCUUAGUGUAUUAGCACUCAUUGAAAAUGAAAAGGGCAUGAAGCUACUGCCAACAGGAAGAAAAAGCUCACUAUCUUUAGUCCUCUAUUCUUCAGUUAGAAAAGAAGAAAAGAGAAGAUAGAUCAGCAUCUCAGAAGGCUAAUGAGGCCAUCAUGCAGUUCGUAUGAGACAUUUCUGUCUUUUGAGCAUUGACUUUGUAGCAUCACACCAUGAACUAGGUCGUAGCUAGUUCUUGUUUAAAUCUGGACUUGUCAAUUUCUGUCUUCGUAUCUGGAACUAGGCCAUAGACAUUUUUGUCCAUUUCUGUCUUUUCAAUCUGAACAUGUCAAUUAUCUUCGAAUCUUGUUUGAAUCAUGUUGACAGAACUAUCAGCAUUUUGAAAAUUAUGUACUUAGUUUUUA
Long non-coding RNA from Zingiber officinale, 965 nucleotides. RefSeq lists it as uncharacterized. The transcript is spliced from 4 exons. The record is from RefSeq and is a predicted model, not a curated record. NCBI's taxonomy places the organism in Eukaryota, Viridiplantae, Streptophyta, Magnoliopsida, Zingiberales, Zingiberaceae.